ACUCAAAUGAAUAGACGGGGGCCAGCACAAGCGGUGGAACAUGUGGUUCAAUUCGAUGCUACGCGAAGAACCUUACCCAGGCUUGACAUACUAGUAGUAGGAACCUGAAAGGGCAACGACUCGUAACCAGUCGAGAGCUAGUACAGGUGCUGCAUGGCUGUCGUCAGCUCGUGCCGUGAGGUGUUGGCUUAAGUGCCACAACGAGCGCAACCAUUGCUGAUAGUUGCCACCAGGGGCCGCAAGGCCCGCUGAGCACUCUAUCGGGACUGCCAGCGACGAGCUGGAGGAAGGUGGUGAUGACGUCAAGUCCGUACGGCCCUUAUGCCUGGGGCUACACACGUGUUACAAUGGCAUGGACAACGCGCUGCUAACCCGCGAGGGCAAGCGAAUCGCUUAAACCAUGCCCCAGUUCGGAUCGCAGGCUGCAAUUCGCCUGCGUGAAGCCGGAAUCGCUAGUAACGGCGGAUCAGCUACGCCGCCGUGAAUACGUUCCCUGGCCUUGUACACACCGCCCGU
RNAcentral lists this ribosomal RNA (516 nucleotides) under uncultured bacterium. Its description in RNAcentral is "partial 16S ribosomal RNA". It matches the Rfam family "Bacterial small subunit ribosomal RNA", at positions 899 to 1397 of the family's 1533-position model. The record is from RNAcentral.